This is a long non-coding RNA of Cornus florida, 1385 nucleotides long. RefSeq lists it as uncharacterized. The record is from RefSeq and is a predicted model, not a curated record. NCBI's taxonomy places the organism in Eukaryota, Viridiplantae, Streptophyta, Magnoliopsida, Cornales, Cornaceae. The transcript is spliced from 5 exons.
AAAAGAGAGAAGAAGGAACCAAAAAAAAGGGCCAUCACGGUCACUCUCUUCGUGCUCUCCCUUUAUUUGCUGUCAAAUGCCUUCUUCAAGGUUCAACGUUUUCCUAAUCAAUGCUGAUUUUCCCCCAAAGUAAUGCUGAUCUUCAUUUACAGGUGGCCGUUGUUGUUCAGAUAUGAUUGGACACGACUUUACCAGAAUUUAGGUUUUGUUGGGAAUUUGAUGAUUUGAGUUGCAUCUGAAGAAUACUAUGGCAUAGAUUCCUUUCGAGUAUGGGAAUCACAGUUCAUUGUGGAUGUAAGAGCUGUAAUCUUCUCUCUCUCUUGAACAUGGUUGAUGAAAAGUCUUGUAGGUCCAAGAAUCGAGCUAUGUGAAGAAUGAGUUGGAUACUUGUGCUUUAUGUCCUACAUUGGAGAGACUCAACCGAGGUGCUCAAUCGCUUAAAACUUUUAUAUGCGGAACAUCAGGCAGUUCAGAUUGUGUCCUUCAAAAUUUAUAUAUGGUGAAAUACAAGCAGCAUCAAUAGCUCAUUCAAUAUAUAUAUUUUUUUACUUAAAGGGCUAAUACUGUUAUAAAAUUCUUUAUUUUACUGAUAUUUUAUUUUUAUUUUUCUCAGUACAUUUUAUCAGAUUACCAUCUUGCACUGGAAAAAUUAGAAGCUAUAUUUUCUAUCGUUCACUGGUGGCUCCAGGGUCAUACCGAUAAGCUCAAAUGGCACAGAAGCCAAUAAAUGCUGUCAAUGUCAUAUUUGCAUCGAUGCUCUUUAAGAGAGAGGUCUAUAUUCUGCCACCCUCUCCUUGUGACAACCCCGUAAGACACUUGCAAUAGGUUGUUAGAGACUGCAGAUUUUAUUUUUUGCACAAAAUGACAUUAUUUGGAGUUCUCUGUUGAGAUAAUAUGAUAUUUCACUAUUAUUAUUUUUUUUAUAAGGAAAAAAAAAAAAUGCUUGUAAAACUGAGGCCAAUUGAUCAAGGAUGGAAUCAACCGAAACCGUCAGCAUUUUUUUCUUUCUUUCUUUUCUUGAUGGUAUUGGAAAUAUGGUUAUUAUAUUCACUCAAUAAAUUUUCCUAUUUUCUGGAUAAAGAUGAUGUUGUAGAUGUCAACAAUGAUCAUCACCCCUUGUCUAUGCCAUCUUAAUCAUGCAUUUGUGUAUUGAAAGAAGUAUGCUGUUAUUGCUUUCAUCAUAUUGGUUGGGGAUUUAGCAGUUGAUGUGUGCUUUUCCUUGAAUCACUGUUCCUAUUAUUUCUGCAAUUUCCUCUUAUUUGCUAUUUGUAGGUAUUCAUUUUAAAACUUCUUUCAUUUCAAUAAAAAGGGAUUUUUAUUUUUUUGGUUACUUCAGUGUGAGAAAGAAAUAUUUGAAAACUCAUUCAAGCAGUGUGAUUGCUAAC